This is a long non-coding RNA of Phyllostomus discolor (pale spear-nosed bat), 3488 nucleotides long. RefSeq lists it as uncharacterized. The record is from RefSeq and is a predicted model, not a curated record. Lineage: Eukaryota; Metazoa; Chordata; Mammalia; Chiroptera; Phyllostomidae. The transcript is spliced from 2 exons.
CUCAAGGGUGGGGAUGGCCGAGUGCCCCGAGCCCCCGCCCCUCGCCAAUAGGCGCAGCAACGGGGGCGCACUGACAGGUAGCCGGAGUAAGCUAGGGGGCCGCUCGGGUCCCCGCGGCUGUACUACGCCCCUUCUCCUGGCGCUUGGCGAGGUGUCUCCCGUCUGCUCCUAGCCAGGCCCGGCGCUGCCGACCCCAGCGGUCCCAGCGCCGGUUCCAGGGCGGGCGGAAGGGGGUGGCGGAGCCCGCAGCCCGCUCCUUUGGCCUGGGCUCCGCUCCUUUGCUGGCUGGAGACCCCUUGCCCGGUACCGUAGCAGCCUAGGUUGCCCCUGAUAAGAUCUUGGCUUCCUUGAUAUAAUCCUGAAACUCGCCACCACCGGUCCUUGCAGCAGCGUCAGCAGCAGCAGCAGCGGCAGCAACAGCAGCAGCAGAAGCAGCGGGACGAAGCAGGAGCAAAACAAAUCGAGGCACGGCAAAUGGUGUAAUUCGAUCCAUCUCCAAGUCAAUCCGUCAGGCGGCGCGGGGCCCACCCCCAGGCGCGGACGGCAGGAGGCGCGGGUGGCCCGGCGCGUUCGCCUGAGCCCCGCGGCCAGCGCCGCCUGGAGGCCCCCAGCCCGGCGCCGCGGCCCCGCUGACCCCUCAGUGGCCUCCGCGUCCCUCCUCCCUGGCGCUCUGCUGCGCCUCCUCCCUCUCCCCACCUCGGAAGAGCUACUCCUUCCAGCAACUCCCAGCGCCUCUGUCAUCCAGCUCGCGGUAGCUGCUGCAGCCUGCGAAGCAGCCUUUUCGCUUUUCUCCCUCUUCCCCUUUUUCUCUCACUCUGUCACUUUCCUCCAGCUACCCAGAGGACAAAGUAUUGCAGCUCAGAUGAGCUGCAGGCGCAAUUGCUUUGUAAAGUUCUGCCUUAGUUUCCUAAUCUUUGUUUUUUAAGCGCAUCUUUACAAACCCGCCCCCAUAUUAUCUUUCUCGCCCUACCCCCUUCCAAUUUUUCUUUAUAACCACUAACCAAAACAGCUGGGAAGAAGCAAUCACACAUUGCUUUAUCUUUAUAAAAAUACAGAAAUUGCCUACUAAAAAUCCCAUUUCUAGUUUGAACGAAAGCCAUUCAGUACAGUAUAAUUUUGCAGGCUAAUGAGCCAGUUUUACAGGCAAGUGUUUCGUGUAAUAUGUUGUGGGAGAAAUGAGAAUGUCCUUGAAGUGACAUCAUUUAAAACUGACUGUCACAGAUGAAAGAAAAAAAUCAUGUAUUCCAAAACAAGAGGAUCUGAAUCCAAACUUCAUUUCCAAGAAUGGGCUGCAUUUUACUAAUUUCCAGCUGAAUUAUGAAUCACUGAGGGCUCCAAAUGGCUGGAAUGAACCAUGAUGCUCUAUUUAAAGGAAAAGAAAGAGGAGAGCCUUUUCGCCAAACUUUUAAUUUUCAUUUGAGUAUGGUUAAUUACCCUGAAAGAGAGAAGAUGGGGGCAAAAAAAGGGUUUUCCUUUCCUUAAGGGUUCCUGCUUUCUCCUGAGCACAAAGUUGCAAGAUUACAUUUGGAAAAUACCCUAUUCUGAGUUAUUUCUGAACCUUCCACUGGCGGCCUUUAAAAGAAACUCAGAAAAGACACCUCAAGGAACUGCUUGCUGCAGGACUCAUCAGGAGGACUGUCUCCCAGGUAGUUAACACUUUGUAACCAAAAUGAAAGAGGAGGAACGGGGAGGGGGUGGCUUUUAAAAUAUAAACUCUCUUCCUGCUGUUCCUCCUAUUGGAAGAAAGGGGUAGGGGGCGGAAAGAACAGCUUGGGCAACACAGCUCUUUCAUUUUUCUGUUGUUGUUAAGGCUAUUGUUGGCUGGGUGGCUGGUUUUUUGGGUUGUGCUGGGAUCUGACAUCAUUGCAAGUUACUUGGCAGUCAGGGCCCUUCCCCAGCCAACUUCUGACCCAGAAAACUAUGCUUGUUUUACUGGCAUCCAGUCAUUCUGUGUUUUGUCCAUCAAGGGAGCAAGCCCCGCUGCAGGCAGAGGGCUCUGUGCACUGAAUGAAGAUGCGGAAAGGUGACCACUGGCUUGAUGAGGAAUCUGACUGCUGCCCACCUGAAAGCAGAAAGUUCAGGAGUUGUGCUGCGUCUGCUGCAGCAGCGAAGAGAAGAAAUUCAGUCCUCUAGAUUUCUGAAUUCUUCACUGAAAUUCAGUGAUGGCCACCUCUCCAGAGUGUCACCUGACAGAGUGCAGGUGACAACGGGGGUCCUAGACUGAGUUCUUAAAUCCAGGAAUGAAACAACUUCAGGUUACAGAAGGAUAUGAUAAUAGGUCACUUCAAACCAAAAAUUAGACACGUUUUCACUUUCAGUAUCAGUCUAGAUCCUUAGAGUCAAUCCCUUUAUUUGGCUUGCUAGGGGGAUAGAGGUCGGGAAGGGGACAGUGCACUGGCAUCCAAGGAACCACCCUUCGUCUUUUGGUCAGGACAAAAAUGAUUUUGACUUAUUAAAGAUUGAUCAUUUCCCUGGUUCCCAGAAUCAGAGAAAUGACACUCUUUUUAUUCGGAUUUUAGUGGAAAGAAUUCUAAGGAAACUGCUCACCCUUUAUGCUGUUUGUUGGCAUCUGGCCCUUUCAGCUGAUUUCCUACACUUUUAACCUGUUAGCCUUGUUUACUUCUCUAGUCUGACCCCGCACCCCAACUGCCACCUUAUGCUGUAGACAGGUAGCUCCCCAUCCUGUGACAUGUCUUCAUGUCCUCACUUGUGGCAUCUCUGAUUUCUGGGGCAUUCAUUCCCCAUAACUGAUGCAUUUUAAUUUCUGCUUUUCUUGACUUUGAACAAAAAUUUUGGUAUAGGUGUCAAAAUUUCCCCCAUCCCACUGCCUCUGGAAUGGGUUUAACACCUCUCUUCUGUGCUCUCCUAACAAGUUCACUUAUGUAACUUACCACAUUGAAGGAAAAGUAUCUGUUCAGGAUGUCUUCCCUACUGGCUGCUUCUUAACUAGAGGGAUCGUGCCUUACUUACCUGGGCAGCAACAGUGCCUAGCCCAGUGCCUGGUUUUUAAUGGACACUCAAUAAACACUUGUUAAUCAGAUCUGAUCAGGGAACCUUGAACUUGUUCACUUUGUUUUAUGUGCCAAACCAGACAGUAUAGUCAUCUCUAAAUUGCAUGCUCCUCCAGAGUAAGGAUUUAUUCACCUGGGUAAGCAUAGUACCUGUGAAAGGAUGUUUGUUGGAAGAGUGAAUGAUGAAGGAAAGGAGGGAAGGAAGAUAUGUGGCCUUUCCUGUCCCGGGAAAGGCCACUUAAAGGGCUCACUGCUGUAGGUGGUUAGUGACUAUGCUUUAUAGUGUUAUCUGCAUGUAUCUCCCAUCCGUGGUAAGUAGUAACCUAAUUUACAACCUAUUUUUUUGUUUAUUUACUUUAAAAGUAAAGUUCAGAAUUUUAUUUCUGUUUUUUUUCCAAUCCAGUUUUAAGAAUGAAAGCUAACUGAAAACUAUAGAAAGUCUGUGUGUAAUAGUCAAUAGAAUUUUAUCAAUCAUCA